RNAcentral lists this ribosomal RNA (486 nucleotides) under uncultured bacterium. RNAcentral's name for it is "partial 16S ribosomal RNA". It matches the Rfam family "Bacterial small subunit ribosomal RNA", at positions 30 to 507 of the family's 1533-position model. The record is from RNAcentral.
CGAACGCUGGCGGCGUGCUUAACACAUGCAAGUCGAACGGAAAGGCCCUGCUUUUGUGGGGUGCUCGAGUGGCGAACGGGUGAGUAACACGUGAGUAACCUGCCCUUGACUUUGGGAUAACUUCAGGAAACUGGGGCUAAUACCGGAUAGGAGCUCCUGCUGCAUGGUGGGGGUUGGAAAGUUUCGGCGGUUGGGGAUGGACUCGCGGCUUAUCAGCUUGUUGGUGGGGUAGUGGCUUACCAAGGCUUUGACGGGUAGCCGGCCUGAGAGGGUGACCGGCCACAUUGGGACUGAGAUACGGUCCAGACUCCUACGGGAGGCAGCAGUGGGGAAUAUUGGACAAUGGGCGAAAGCCUGAUCCAGCCAUGCCGCGUGUGUGAAGAAGGUCUUCGGAUUGUAAAGCACUUUAAGUUGGGAGGAAGGGCAGUAAGUUAAUACCUUGCUGUUUUGACGUUACCAACAGAAUAAGCACCGGCUAACUUCGUG